CAGCGGUAAGAGAAAUAGCAUUGGUGGCAGAAGAUCCAGCAGCAGAAAGGUAUGAAGCACAAGUACCAGUGGCAGAAGAGGCAGAAACUAAAGUAGCAGAGCCACUGAAGUCACAGUCACCUUUAGCACUGUAAUAGGCAUCAAGAACGUAAUCCAAUUGUUGCUUAGCAUCACAGUAACUGUAAGAACCAUAUUGACCAGGGUAAGUGCCAUUAGCAGUGAUACCAUCACAAGAAAUUUCAUUGCAAACAUAGCUGAAGAGAUCACUGUAAUCAUCAGAGCUAACAUCAUCGUUGAUAACGCAACUGCGAGUACUAUCCAUACAUUCACAAACAGCCUCUGAAGGAGUAGGGGGAAGAGAAGUAGCAGCCAUCCAAGCACUGUUGGUAGCUUGACAGGACAUAGUUGCGGUCAAAGUAGCAGACAUAGUCGAUUCAUAAGAAGCACUAGGGAUGACAGAGGCAUAUCUGGAAGAAAGGUAAGGGAAAUCGGUGAGAGUGCUAACAGAGUCACCGGAAACAGUAACAACACCAUACUCAUUUUCACUCUCAAAAUAUUGGUAAGCAAUACCACCAGACCAAACAUCAGUCAUGUUGUCACUGAACAAGGCAACAAUUUCAGAGAAUGUACGAGGACGAACUUCAAUACAUCCAAACUCUGAGAAAAUCAUAGGGACAGUCAUGUUGGAAAACUCUUCAGUACGUUCUUGGUAACCAGAUGAAACGAAAUCACUGUCACCGCACCAUUCAUAAAUGUUAAUACCGUAAAAGUCAACAUGAUCAUCAUCAUCACCGCAGUCAAAGUAAUACGCCAUAGGGUCACGAGUAACCUCUUCGUCGUUUGUAGAGUAACCAACAGGAAUUUGACGAUAACCACUAGACUUAAUAUAGGAUUUAACGUCACGAACGGCAGCCUUCACGAAAGCAGCGGCAUUUGUGUUAGUGUUAUUUUGAAUAACUUCGUUUCCAGCAAUGAAACCAAGCAUGUUAUCAUAGGGAGCCAAAGAAUCAACGACUUCAGUAUAUCUAGAAAACAAAUCAACAGUCCAAGUAGGAUCAGAGCUUGAAAUGGCUUCAUAAGGUUGGGCCAAAUCAGAAAGAACGUAUAUACCAGCAUCUUGAAAAGCUUGCAUACAAGCAGAGUGAUCAAGAGACGCGUUAACGGCAUAAACACGGAUAGCGUUAACAGACAACUCUUGGAAGUAUGGAACAUCACGGGAGCAAGCAUCACCAUCAGAAAGAGGAUCAACGAAAAGAGUACCUUCAGUGUCACUAUCAUCGACGUUAGGUUGAUAAGCGAUACCCUUCAAAAAGAAACGAGUGCCGUUCUCGUAAAAAAAGUAACGACCAUCAACGUGAACAGGAGAAACUGAGGCUUUAGCGAGGCCAACGAGACCGGCGACGGCCAAAGAUAGAAUACUGAACUUCAUUUUUUUUAAGUAAACAAGAAACAGGGUAUUAAAAGAGAUAAAAAGUUAUGCAGUGUUAUAAGCGAAAGACGAAUAAAAGGAAUGCAAGAAUGAAAAUGUCAAAAAAUGACUGUCUAAAAAGGAAUGAAA
RNAcentral lists this long non-coding RNA (1558 nucleotides) under Schizosaccharomyces pombe (fission yeast). The record is from RNAcentral. Lineage: Eukaryota; Fungi; Ascomycota; Schizosaccharomycetes; Schizosaccharomycetales; Schizosaccharomycetaceae.